RNAcentral lists this transfer RNA (66 nucleotides) under Anopheles pseudotibiamaculatus. RNAcentral describes it as "tRNA-Tyr". It matches the Rfam family "tRNA". Rfam says of the family: Transfer RNA (tRNA) molecules are approximately 80 nucleotides in length. Lineage: Eukaryota; Metazoa; Arthropoda; Insecta; Diptera; Culicidae. The record is from RNAcentral.
GAUUAAAUGGCUGAAUAGUAGGCGAUAAAUUGUAAAUUUAUUUAUGAGAAAGUUUCUCUUUAAUCA